CAGCAGCCGCCACGGUAAAACGUAGGGUGCAAGCGUUAAUCGGAAUUACUGGGCGUAAAGCGUGCGCAGGCGGUUUGUUAAGACAGAUGUGAAAUCCCCGGGCUCAACCUGGGAACUGCAUUUGUGACUGGCAGGCUAGAGUAUGGCAGAGGGGGGUGGAAUUCCGCGUGUAGCAGUGAAAUGCGUAGAUAUGCGGAGGAACACCGAUGGCGAAGGCAGCCCCCUGGGCCAAUACUGACGCUCAUGCACGAAAGCGUGGGGAGCAAACAGGAUUAGAUACCCCUGUAGUCCCUGUCUCUUAUAC
Molecule: ribosomal RNA, 304 nt
Filed under: uncultured bacterium
Lineage: Bacteria
Description: partial 16S ribosomal RNA
Rfam family: Bacterial small subunit ribosomal RNA
Source: RNAcentral